AGCGAACGCUGGCGGCAGGCCUAACACAUGCAAGUCGAACGAACCUUUCGGGGUUAGUGGCGGACGGGUGAGUAACACGUGGGAACGUGCCUUUAGGUUCGGAAUAACUCAGGGAAACUUGUGCUAAUACCGAAUGUGCCCUUCGGGGGAAAGAUUAAUCGCCUUUAGAGCGGCCCGCGUCUGAUUCGCUAGUUGGUUGGGGUAAUGGCUCACCAAGGCGACGAUCAGUAGCUGGUCUGAGAGGAUGAUCAGCCACAUUGGGGCUGAGACACGGCCCAAAAUCCUACGGGGGGGCGCAGUGGGGAAUCUUGCGGAAUGGGGCAAAACCUGACGCAGCCAUGCCGCGUGAAUGAUGAAGGUCUUAGGAUUGUAAAAUUCUUUCACCGGGGACGAUAAUGACGGUACCCGGAGAAGAAGCCCCGGCUAACUUCGUG
This 434-nucleotide ribosomal RNA is filed under the name uncultured bacterium. RNAcentral describes it as "partial 16S ribosomal RNA". It matches the Rfam family "Bacterial small subunit ribosomal RNA", at positions 29 to 507 of the family's 1533-position model. The record is from RNAcentral.